Gasterosteus aculeatus aculeatus (three-spined stickleback) is the source of this 22989-nucleotide long non-coding RNA. NCBI's taxonomy places the organism in Eukaryota, Metazoa, Chordata, Actinopteri, Perciformes, Gasterosteidae. The record is from Ensembl.
UAUAUAUAUAUAUAUAUAUAUAUAUAUAUAUAUAUAUAUAUAAAUAUAUAAUAUUAAAAACAAAUGUAUGUAAUUAAGUUUAAAAAUUCAGACUUACUAGAAAUACUUUAACUGCUAGUGUGUAAAGGGAAUACUGCACCUUAUUUGUUAUUAAGUGUUAAAACUGCAAUAGAUCUUUUGAAUUCAGCAUUCAUUAAUGACAGAGAUUCAGGAAAUUAAUCACAAUUAAAUAUUGUUGCCCAGCACUAGCUUCCACUUUAAGUUCCAUUCUGUUACUGUACUGUACUGUAUGAGGCGCAGAAAUACUGGGUUUCGCUUUCACUCGAAUCAUAUCAAUGGUCUGAAUAUACUCUCGCUGUGUGGACUGCUCCAGUGUUAUCUGGUUGUUGGUGGUGUCCACUGCAGCUAGUGCUUUAGUCAGCUGGGUAUUCUAAAAGCCCCCUCUCGCUUAUUGCCACAACAGGGCAUUUUUACUGCUGCAGCAAUCAGGUCAAAUAAAACAAGUGACAUAUGUAAUAUCUAAUCAUUUUGUUAUCUAUCUGUUAUCGGUGGCUCUGUGGGUAGAGUGGAUCCUGCUUUAAUCACAACGUUGGCGGUUCGGUCUUCAGCUCCUCCUGUCCACAUGCUAAGGGUCCUUUAAGGAGAAAACAAACGUGAGCUCUUUACAGCAGACCACUUCUUCCAGUUCUUGGAAUUGAAAUGAAUCAAGAUUUUCUUUUUUUUAAGCAAGCAUCAUGUCAGAUCUCUGACAUCUGGCAAUCAAUCUGUAGCACGUGCUGUUGUUCAUUUCAAUCUACGUAAGAACCUUUUACAAUUGGAUCUAACCUCUGUAAGCCAUGUGCUAUAUGUUUAUUAUUCUGUAUUUUAACAAUGCUGUUGAUACGUGUCGUGAAGUUGAAGCACGUCCAAUAGGCUUAAAGGACUUGGACUGCAGCCUAGCUCUCACACACUGCCACUCCAAGCGGGGGUCAGGAGUUACACCAGAGGUAGGUUUGAGGCAUGUCCUGUGCAGUUUGCCAGGGGAAACAAGUAGUUGCUAUUCAUGGGCAAGGCAGCCAGAUUCAACUUUGAACAUCAAUUAUUCGUUUUUGAUUCUUCUUCUUCUUGAUGCAUGGGAGCACUACUUUUGAUAAUUUUAGAUAGCGUCUCUCUUGCACCCCAUCGUGCUUCACCGGGUGUCACUAUUGGCUCCAUCCACUGAGGUUUAACUGCACCAAGGACAAUCAUUUCAGCCUCCAAAGCAGCUCUGCUUCCGGCAAAUGAUUGUGUAACUAAAACUCUAAUCAACUUCCUUUUACUGUUCAACACACACGUUUAGACACACUAUCACCCACAUCCCCCCUGUUGUGGCUAUGAAGGAUGCACUCCCCAGUCCCCACACAGCUGCCGUCGAGCUGGGGAUUGGGUGGGUGGUACGGGAUGACCCCAAGCGAUGAAGGCCAUUGGGCCAUCCCACUCACACUCUGACACAUUCCCCCAACACCUCCAUCAACCCACCCACCCAUAGAACUUACCCAGCUCCGCCCUGUUGACCGACAUAUAACCGGGAUGCCCCGCCGCAGGGUACUUCUCAGUGCAGCAGGGUGGUGAGGGGGGGGGGGCUCCUCAACAUUCUGACUCGCAGCAGAGGGAUCGUUCGUUUCAUUAACAAACAGAUCCCCGUCAUGUUGAUAUGGAGCUCCACUCAGCAAAGAGCAAAUUGGGAGGGAAAUGAGAUGUCUCAGUGUGAGGGUGGGGCACUAGCUGGGAGAAGGAACAGAGGAGGGGAAAAUGAAGAAUACAGUAAUUUGUGUAUGCACACAUUGGCCUCCUUAUUUCUAGAAUAUUAAUUUAGUUUCAGACUGGGAGAGGUGCGUAUGUGAGUGACAGUCUGUGUGUGAUUGCCUAUUGAUGUGUAUGCAUUUGUGGGUUUGUCUGUGUGUGGAGGUGGGAAUUGUACAGUGGAUGGUGAGGUCUUCUCUGUUUGCUAUUUUGCCUCUGCGUCUGCAUGCACAGAUCUGUGUGUGUGUCUCCGUCUCAUGCGUCCACCCAUCCAAGGUGACUGUGCUGGCUGACGCCUGAGGGCCCCCGAGGUGCAACUGACAGCUUUAGGUGCGAGUCUGAGAUUUGUUGCCCCACCUCCUCCUCCUCCUCCUCUUACCACCAGUACCCAUAACCCAUCAGGACUAUAAACCAACCCCUCCCACCACCGCCCAAGAGUGAUGGCUAAAGAGGUUAAAACAAAAGAGGUAGGAGAAAAGAGAUGGGUUGAAUGCCAAGGUGCUCUCCUGUUUGGGACAGAGGGCCUGAUGGAUGGGAAGGGGACCGAGGGGGGUUGUCUGACCUUGAAUGUCAAAGGUCAAGGUUUAAAGCAUGGUAAAAGACAAUGAGUUCAGUUGCCCCAACGGCAUUCUUUAAGGAGCACUUUGGAUACAUUUGUGUAAGUGUUAAACAUGAAGAAAGCAAGACAGACUAGCAUUUGUAAAUGAAAAUCCACACUUUCGCACAAUGAGACUGUGACGAAUACACAGUAUGAAAACAAAUAUACUCGUGGUUCUAGGUAUUUUAUUAUGAAAGGUAAAAACUAGGGCUGUCAAUAUAUUUGAAAAAAACAAAACUAAUUAAACAUUUUGAAAUUUUGAACAUUAUCGCGAUUAAAAGUUUGUUUAAUGAGUAUUCAUUUAGAAAGCGUGUAUUUUAGACACUGUUGUUUGUAUUUUUUCAAAACUCAUUAGACGAUGGCUGAGGUGGAAAUUUAUGUUUGUUCUUAUUUGGAUUCACGGUCACAUUCAUGCUAUUGCAAAAUGCCCGUAAACACAUGCAUGUCACGCAAAAUCACACAUUAUAAUAUGUGCAUGUUGCAUACUGUUGGUUUUCUUGUUUCCCAUUGUAAUAUCAUGCUUUGAUUGAACCUGAGCUGUGUGCAGCAUAGCUUCUUGCAGGGCAAAUUGUCUGUACGCACUUAAAUCUGAGAAUUUGCAUGUGUAUUUGUUUUGUUUUGUAUGUUUACUUCAUUUUUAGGAUUUGUGCUUUUACAAUUUUUUGGACUAAACAUCGAUCACUCAAAGCAGGUGAUUAUGUUUUCCAUUUCUGAAUGCAAACUUAGGAAACAGACGCACCACCAGUCACAGGGAGAGUAUAUUUGGAGAAAAGAAAAAAGAAGAAAAAAAAGAAUCUUAUAAGUCCAUCCAUAUAAGGGUUUGAUAACUGUAACUGUGAUUAGUAUCACUGUGACCCAACCAACUCUUUGAAGGAGAAAGUCAAUGUGAUUAUCAUAUCAUAUCAUAUAUAUAUAUAUAUAUAUAUAUAUAUAUAUAUAUAUAUAUAUAUAUAUAGAUCAUUCAAUACAUUAACAAAUUGUGUUUGUACACAAUUGCACCAAGUUUCUGCUUUUAGCGAGUUCGUUCUUUUCAGCAAAACUAGUAGCGCUACAUCUGUCGAAAAGGAUUUUUUGGUGCCCUUCCUAUCCUUACAUUUGGUAUGUGAUUGUGGUGCCACAUAUUUAUCCUCCCCUUGUCUGUGGGGUGUGAGGGUGUCAGCACUCUCGGUCUGCCCUGCAUGGGGGGCAGAGGGCUGUGCCAGCGAACAGAUGGUGGGGGCUGGGUGGGACGGUGGCAGAACACAGAGAAUGCUCUAGAUCCUGUAGCCUCGGCUGGGUGAGAACAACCCAAAUCCUUAUGCAGGGUUUUUCUUCUUUAUUGGAACAAACAUACAUUGCAUCAGUCUUCUGUUAAGAGAAUCUGCACACACAGGAUAAUGCUGGUGGAAAAUGGAAGGCAGACAAUUUGUUGGUUUGUUAUUAGAGUACUGAAGUCAAUUUUGAAACAUACAGACUCAACGUGUAUUUAUUUUGGUCAUUGUUGAAUCCCUACUAGUUGAAGUUGAAUUGCAUUUCAAUUCAACCCUACAAUUCUGUUCAACCAUUUCAUCCAUAAUAUGACAGCAUGUCUAUAUGUGGUUGGAGAAUCACCUAAUUGACUUUCAAGAGAAAUCAGAAAUGUAUUACUUACAAAAAAGGAUUGUAUUGGUAAUUUUUACCUUUUAAGUGUUUGAACAGUGCUUAAGCAACUGUAUUGCACCUAUAACCACUAGAGUUGAAAUUCAAACCAAAAUACAGUGUUCAGUGUACACAACUACCAUCACACUGAUAACACCGGUGAUUACUAAAAACACCUGUUCAAAGAAGACUACAUUUUCCAAUGUUACCAACCCUUCAAAUAACAAUGCUUGGUCAGCUGUCCCCUGCUUCAAACAAUGAUGCUCCAGAACUAGCGCCACUUUUAGACUUCCGGGCCAGUAAGUCAAGAAAAUUCCUUAGAUCCGAGGAUCAAGAGUAUGAAGCUGGAUCCAGGCCAAAAGUUUUAAUAAUUUGGAAAAGUAAAUUGAACCUGAAAGUUUGAGCUGUUUGUCUUUAAGAUAAAUAACACAACAAUAUAUUCAAAACAAAAACAAGUGAAUGAAUAGUAUUUUGGGGUUGAAUAUCAUUUUCAUUCAGUUCUUGAAUUCUUUUGAAUAAAAUGUGAAUGUUAAUUAUUAUUCUUGUACAUAUGUUUUGACAUUAAAGGUCCUAUAUUUAUCAGAUGCAGAUUUGCAGGUUUUAAAUCUUUUUUUUUCCACUUUCAGACCAUUUAUUUUACUUCCAGACUUUUGGCCCUGAUCUCCAUGUAAUAAUGAGUGACAGCUUACAAAGAAGGCUAAAAACCUUCGUCAAUCACGUUGAAUCAGGAAUCGUAGGCACCAGGAAUCAACAUCUUCUGUUUAUUUUUGUUUUGAAUACAAUGUAUUUUUCAAUGUUCAAGACCAAAACUCAAACUUUCAGCUUGAUAUUUAUUUUCGUAAAUAAAAAGGACUAUUGUCAUAAUCAUUAUCUGAAAAGAUUGUGUUGUGGUUUGAAUUUAAAUUUAAAAUGUUUUACUCAAAAUAAGUAUACUGGUUUCUUAACUAGUUAGAUACACAAGUUAACUAAGUAAUGUUGAUGGUUUCAAACAGGACAUGAACAGUGGUCUACUGGGUGAAAGUCUGUGUUUUCUUGAGCCAUCAUCCACCCAACGUCAUCUCCAGAGUACUUUUUCUCUUACUCUUUAGUUGAAAGGCUGUGCUCAUACAAGCGCGGAAGGGUUCCUCGGCCCUUCAGUGUUGGGCUUGAGAAUGGGUCACUUCCAACAGUAUGCUUUAGUUUCUUGUAACCAUUACCAUACCUUUCCAAAGCGUAUUCAGGACUGUUACAUGCUGCAUUGGGUGUCUUAAUACAUGAUCACACUUAGUUAGUUGUUAGUUUGUAAAGUGGGCUCUGCCCUAAAUUCUGGGCUGCAUGUGGAAUCCUUCGAACACAUGAUAAAAUUCACAUCUUACUAACUGUUAAUGUAGAGAGUGUAGUGUGUUAUUUAAACAAUAUUGUACAUUAAUGGUCACGACAUUUCUGCGGCAAAGGUUUACACACCCGAAUAAGGUGAACGUAGUGUUAAGUUAAGAACAUCCUUAAGUCACUCUGUUCACAUAUCAGCUUUGAGUUCCUCUUUCUAGCACCUGUGUGAAACUAAGCUAAGCGCCAUGCAUACAACUUUAUGUGCCUACAUACAAUUUCUCAAAGUGUGUUGCUUUAAACACUAAAGGAGAGUACACAAUUUUCCUCUCCAAUCUGCUAUUUAAAUUUCUUGACUUAUUUAAUUCUCAAAACAGAUAUUUAAAUUUUCUGUUGAAAACCACAAAAUGGUUUGUCUGCAUUUCACUACAGUACUAGGAUGCUGAAAACAUGUGUAUAGCAUAAAUCUGCAUUAUGGUGUUUAAUAGGCAUUGUAAUCUAUCAAUGCAUAUAUCUAACUAUAAAUCAGUUUGUGCAUUUUUGAGAUAUUUAUAUAUUUUAAAUCUUUUACCUUCGUAAAAACAGACAGCUGGGUCAUUAAGACUAGAUAAAAGGGAGCCGAGGUAUAAAAUAUCUAAAAACCUGCCAUCAUCUAUCCUCUCAUCCUAAUUAAGCAGAACACAAAACAUUGCAAUGAAAUGAGAUGACACAGUUUGUCAGGGCGCCUGUCGAUAUUCAGGAGGGAUAGCACAUCACCUUGGGACCUCCCUGCGGGGCUUUAUACACACAGGCCAACCUGGACAUCCAUAGACGCCCUCCAUGACCCCUAACACACACUCCCUCUCUCUCUUUCUCUCUCUCUUACUGUCACACAUGCUGAUGAAAUGUUCUUUAAUACCCAAUCGACAGUAUUGACAUCCCCUUGGGUAGCAGGGUCCCCCUGAGGGGCAAAAUAUUGAUUUCGGGGGAACGUGGGCCCACGGUCCCUAUGUGACAUGUCCCCAGUGUCGCUGCCAUUAUUGUGAGAUUAGCAGGGCUAUUACACCUCCCAGGCCAGAUGGACGUGACACUGGCAGUGGCAGCAAGAUGACAAUCUAUAUGUGAACUUCUUGAAAGGGAAUUAGCUGCUCUCAAGGUUUUCAACCAACUCUUGUAAAAUGGCCAAUGCUGCAUUCAAGCCAUGUCAACGGAAUGUGAAGAACAGGAACGGAUUCCAAUGUCAACCACAGAUUAUAUCAUUAUAGGUAGGUUAUUUCUAUUUUAAUGAAAAUUGGGCUUAAUCAGCAAAUUUGGUGUCAAAACACUAAUGGUUGGCUCAACCAAACAAACACUCCAGGUCAGGGGUACCAAAUAGGUUGAUCGCGGCUGUAACAGUAAAUUGCCUCCUCUACCUCUUUUAAUCCUUAUUACCUCUUAAUUUUGUCUGAAGAUAAAGGCUUUUCAAUGCAUUAUAAACACAUAAAUCGGACUCCAUAAUGUAUCUGUAUGGCUUUAGGAAAUUGUAGAUUGCAUAUUAAGAACUCUAUAACACCUUAUGAAUUCUAAAUUCCUAAAUUGAAAUAAUCUUUUUGAACCAACAUUAUACUUUCCUUUAGGGAGAUUCAACUCAGUUACUGUAUUAUUUUGUAUCAUAUAUUACUAGUGAUCUCUUGACUUUUCCCCUAGCGCUCUCUGUACAGUGUUUUUUUCUGGCCUUUUUCCUUCAACUCAAAAUAAUGUUAUAUUGUCAUUGAUGUUUACGAGACAUUAUUUAAUUUCUGAAACGUUUCAAAUGUAUAAUGUUGUAAUACAUUGUAGCAAGAUCUUUGUGUUUUUAUAAAGCUAUGGUAGUUAAAGUGCUGCUUCAAAUAGGUCUUGAAUACUGAAAAUCCUCUUAGUUUGCAUCUUUGAACCAUUCACACACAUCACCGAGCCGCAACCAAUGUUCUUCUGGACAAGGGCUUUUAUUGAUGUGCCAAAAAACCGUCUGAGGUUUUAAGGGUUAAAAGUGUGUAUUGUGAGCUGGAGAGCAUUCAAACAAUUCCAAAGGAACCUAAUUAAAACAUCAUGGGUCCUUCAUAACCUCAACUUCAAUUGUUUGACUUUAUAAUAUUUUUAAACAGUCUUACAUUUUGAUUUUCAAUUUGUCCAGAAUUGCUGAUCUUAAAAUUUGUCCCACUUUAAUUUGACUUCUAAUAAAUCGAGAUGGUAAGCUGGAAAUCACUGUAGCUCAGCUGAAAUGGCGGUUAUUGGCGCACUACUCUGGGCUCUGCACCCUGCCCUGUGGAGCCAGGAUGACCUCUGCAAGACGGGGGGCCCCGUGAUUGAUUAGCUGGCCUGGGAUGACCACCACUCCCCCACUGGCUAGGGCAUAUGGAGCUACAUGUUCUAGGGACAGCUGCGUCUGCAAGACUGAUCCUCACACACGUGUGUAUUGUCUUUGAAUGUGAGAGAGCCCAGCGUUGUUCAUUUUUAUGGGUCUUCCAGGUGCCAUGUCCUCCCUUAGUUGUACAGCUUGGCAUCCGGUUGUGCUGUUGUGCCAUUCUUGUGUGUACUAACUAAAUUCAAGAUAUAAAAAAAGCUUUGGAACUUUAAUGUAUAAAAUCCAUUGUUUAUGCAAGGUUGCAUCACAAACAACCUAACGUGGUCAUUCAACAUCUCCACCAUGCUGCUGUUAGACUGCUUUCUAUUGCUCCUCUGUAAUAGAAAGACAUUCUGAUUGGAAACAUUACAUACUGGCUUGUGUACUGUACACUGUCCAGGACAGGAGGACUCUACAGAGGGUGAUAAAAACUGCCAAAAUAACCAUUGGUACCCUUCUACUGAGCAACAGUGAUAUUGAUGACAAGAGUUGGUAAAUGUUACAUUGAAAGACAGAAAAACAGCCACAGCCUAUUCUCAAUGCUGCAGUUUGAAAUGAUAUAUAGCUGAAGUACUGCCAGAUUUCAGCCUUGUAAUCAUUCCCAUUAUCUAAUUACUUUUCAAUUUCAAUUAAUGGACUAGACGCUAGCGGACCAAAAUUCCUUCACCAGAUGUAAAAGAUAGUGCUGUCGUGAUUGCCACCACACUGCCACGGGAAAGAGAGAAACGAGAGCCAGGAUUUAAGUUAAGCUAACCCAGAUAGAACUUGACGCUACCCCACUGCACAGCAUGCUUCUGGCUGUCUGAUGCCCGAGUGCUGGAAAAUGAGAUGAAUGAAAGCCAUGGCAGGUCGCUCACUAUUGAGCCCACAUCUUCAGACGCCUGGCUCCAUCGUUCAUCCUGGAUCAAGCUGCACUUGAAUGGCAGACAGCAGGACACAUAACAGGACUCCAUUGGGACGAGAGGAGGUGGGCUCUCUGUGUCAAGUUGUCGGUGUUAUUAUCUGCUUACAUAAUUGUUUUUGUUGCAGUAGAUUACUUAUGAUACUUAUAUAUUUAAUAAAUUAAUUACAGGAAAGGGUUUUUGUUUUGAUGUGUUUGUCAUGGAUUUGUUGUGUUGAAAAUUAGCUACAACUGAAUUUUUUCCAUUUGUAACUUGUGUUGGAUAAUUACAAUAAAUGAUUUCAAUCCAUAACAUGUUAAGACCAUUUUUAGGCCUCUGCUCAAAAUUUGCAUACUCAUUUUUAAAGAGUAUAUCUGCAAACACAAGGUCUAUUUGAAUCAUUUAAGUGAUGUAACAGAAUGGGGACACCUAUGAUAUUAGCUUUAAACCUCUCUCAAAUCAUAGCUCCAUACGUGGACAUUCUAUCUGCAAAGUUUGACUUUGAUUAAAUGAAGCAGAAGAAAAUCAGGGAGUUUUUAGUACAGACAGUUUCCAAACGAUCCAAAAUGACCGUUUUGGCACAUCAGUGCCGUUUGUAUUUUCUCAUGUCCCAAAUUCUGCAUUUCAGUCGUAGGGUUAGGGACUAUUGUCUUCUCUCAGCGACCAGUGGGGGUUGGUUUUUAAGAGGUUCGAGACGUUUUGCCGUUUUUUUCCCGAUUUACCUUCGCCAACUAACUUCAAACAUGUCUCAAAGAUGUUUUAGACUUGUUUAAGAUCAAUCAGAAAGGAGUUGUGCAACUUCUACAUGGAGCUGGUUCAUUUGAGGAUUUUCAGUCAGGAUUUAAAGUAGGUCUACAUCAUAGCACAGAGACAGCGCUGAAAAGAGACAUUACAAAUUACUUUCCUAUUGCAUCAGACAAAGGAUUUUCUUAUUGUAUUUCUCUUUUUGCAUCUUAGUGCUGCACUCAACACCAUUGACAAUCACAUUAUAGUGCGAGGGCCAUUUACUUAAGUUUUGGUGCAUUCUUGACUAUUAAGGCGUUUUCAGGCCGAGAGAAGGCUUAAAAACGCACAGAACACAAGAAUGCAUUGGUUAACAGUGUUUUCCUCAAACUAGCACCUCAGGAAAGUACAUUUAUCCUUUUCAUGAUGGUAUCAUGGUUUGUAAAUAGUUUUCCAACCUUUUUUGUUCAAACUAAGUUUUGGAGCAUUCAUGACCGAAAAGCGAUAAUGUGAUUUGUUUGUUUUGUACAUGAUUCAGUGAAGGUUUUUCUGACAGAAAUGGUACUUCUUUGGUAGUAAUCAGGGUGGAAUCGGCUCAUUGUUUGCCAUCUAACGUUUCUUUGUUAGCUUCUAUCUCUGAUCGAUGGGUCCACAACUGCUUGUUUGAGUUGUGUUUUGAGCAUUUUCAAAUGAUACGUUUGCUUUGUAGCCAAGAUUAUUUCCAACGGUGUAAGGCAUUAUUUUAUUUGUUUGUGAUGAGCAUCUCUUAUGUGUGAGAUUUAUUGGGUUGGACCUUGGCCCUUUCUCAAUAUGUGUUCUUGUGUCCUCGCAAAACGUCAUCAGUCGCAGCCCUAGUACUGUUCCAAUUCUAAAGUCUGCAUCUCGACAAGAACGGUCAUAAUACCCGGAUGUGACCCGCCACGUCCCAUUUUACCGAGGAUGCAUCGGAGAAGACUUGUUUGUUCUUGUGAGAGCCAAAUAUCCCAGAAUGCAUUUUAAAAAAAAGUCCCAAAACAGCCAACAAUGGCAGAUGAAAAUGAACACAACUGUAAGUCGAAGUUUAUAAAUACUACUAUGUUUAAGUCACAGAAUGUAAUUUUGGGACUUUUUGGGGCGAGAAGUUAGUUGUUUAAGCACAAAAUUUGUGUGGUCGUUUUGUCAACAUUCAGCCUUUUUAAGGAUCGUAGUUAACACGUCCGUCAGGCCUCUCCGAGCGGUCAGUGUCAUCUCAGCCGGCAGAGAGCUGCCUGUUCUUCUGUGUCUUCUGUGAAAUGAUACUCUGGUAUUCACAUUCAAACAUUCAAAAGUCUGUGUAGCGGUUACGCAUGGGCCAUAACUAUACUAUAACUAGGCUUGAGUGUUUAUAACUUUUAAUCUGUUGUCAGAGACUGUUGUUUGUUCACUGCUAAUGUUACAUUUGUUUGAGGGCAGAGUUUAGAUUCAUAACUUAAUGUUUUAAUUAAACUUGUAAUGUAUUGUCUGUGUGGACGCUUCUUAUUGUCUAUCUCUGUGCAUUAAAACUAACUGUUUUUAUUAAAGAACACCCGGACCAUCAUCAAGGCUCUAGACUGGCAGCAGGAGGUCAGCUUCAAAGGCACUGUGAAUUGUAAUAAUAAAAAAAGAUAUUUUUAAAAUAUGAAUUGAAUUGAAUAUUUAUCCAUAAGACAUUUCAUGUGUGGUCACCUGUUUGCAUAUGCUUGUAUAUGCUUAAAACAUUUUGUAUUCAUUUCAUUAUUUGACAGUGUAAGAGUUCACCUGACAGUAGCUUACAUGAUCACCAGUGGUGGUUCAUCCAUAGAGGGCCAUGGGUUAUAUAUUUUUUAUUUUUAUAUUUUAAUAUACAAAACUCCAUUUUACAAAUAGACAAUAUGUGUCUGUUUGUUAAGAUAUCUUAGCUACAGUUGCUGGCUAGCCAUCUCCCUUUUAUUUAUAUAUGUCUGUGUUUCCCCUCCGUUACUAAACUCUUUUUUUUUCUCGCCCUGACGGGCGCAGGCAGACACAUGGUGCACACACAGCGUGUACACGACCCCCCCUACUCACAACCAAAGGUCAAUCUGUCACACGGUAGAAAAACUAUAAUUAAAUCAUUAAUAUUCCCCAAAUUCUAAUAAAAGAAUAAAUAUACUUCCGGUUCCUACAGAGACUCUGUACAUUUACUAUAAACUCAAAAUACUACAGUUCAUAUAUUGUCCAUAAUUUGAAGUAAAAAAAGAAAAUAAAAAAGUAUGGUUCAGGCACUCUUUUGGCACCUGUAUGUUUGAAAAGUAUCGUCUUAGCACUGGUAUUGGGAAAAACCCAAACAAUAAUUAUCCAUAGUGGAUAAUUGUAAACAUAACAAAAACAGACCUAAUUGCACUUGCAACACUGUGUAUGCCUUGGAAUUCUCAUUGUUAGUGAGACACUACAUUUUCUCACAUUUUCAUGUAUACACUGAGAUUUCACAAAAUCUUUAGUCAUGGAAAUGUUGUUUGAAGUCAUGGAAAGCCAUGGAAAUCCAUUGGUCAAAAUGUGUAGGAACCCUGUGUUUGAUACCUUUGAAACUGACUACCCCAAAAAAAAUCAGCCGCCACUGAUGAUCACUGUAUCAUAGAUAUUAAAUACUACGUUAAGCCCUAAUGAUGUCUUCUCUAUCUUACUGAAUGUCAACCCAUUGGCACACUAUAUUAUAGAUUAAAUGCUAUGUUAAUCAGUGAUGGUGUCACCUUUCUAACUGUAGCCUCAAUGAUCACUGUAGAUAGUAAUACAGUAAUUAUAAUGCGAACAAGAUGACGUCAAAGAGGCAUGAUAUACACAGACACUGGCUUGACUCACACCCGCCAACCCCUGUUGUUUUGUAUUUUUUGAUCAUGUAGUACAAAUUUGGGUUUAAUUUCAAACCCCUUUCACUCCAUAUUUUGUGAGUUCAAUCAAGUACACCAUAAUAAUUGUCUUCCGGAUAGAACUGUCCAACAGUGUCUCCAGUCACUUUUAUUUAACUAUAUUGCUUCUCCCCAAUCUCUACGACUGUCCUGGUGGACCAACACAAACCACUAACUAGUUAUCUUGUAGAAAAACACAAUCCUAUCAGUCCAGAGGGUGCCUGCAUGCUUAAAACAUCAUGGUGUGUGGUAAUAACAGGAGGAGAAGUUACGUUCACCCGAUGAUCACAACAAUUUCCUGACAUAAUUUCGUCCAUCUCUGUGCCAUUUCCUUCCACAUGAAGACUGUAUCAUUAAAAAAGAUUGGCACAACAUCAGCCAGACAUGCAGGAAAACAUAGUUUUCUUGUGUUUAUAAAACCGUGAAUCAUGGUUUGACAGAAAAUAAAAAAAUAUUUGGGCUCACUGUGAACAUUAUAACCUUUCACCAUAUUCGCCUCUAGUUGCUGAUUAUUUCUAUUAGUUUUAAACGGUUUUUAGGUAUUCUAAUAUACAUUGGUAUGAGCUUACAUGACAGGCAGAAUCAGUACACUGUUUUUCUGAGAUUAGAAAUUGGGUUUUUAUUCAGAAAUUAUCCACCAGGGAGUUUAUUGUUCAUAUAAUGUGUGAAUGUCUAAAUCUGUCUUGCAAUAUCAGUCUGGGAUUGUUGUCUAAUUUUUACAAGCUAUCCUGAUCAAUUUCUAAAAUCAGUAGAUAAGUUAUGCAGUUAAAGUUUACUUAAUCGCUGUGCUUUAACAAUAUAUGUUAUUUCAUACAGCACAACUAUUUUGAGAACUCCAAAAUCCAUUUAUUAUCAUUAUGAUUAAAUGAUCAGUGUUCUCAUGAAAAUAAAAAUUGGCAAGAUUCUUUCCUGGCAAAUGCAGAGGACACAUUGUAACCAGCUCAUGAGUUUGCUGGUUGCAGAGAAAAUGGACAUUUUUACGAUCAUUAUGGUUUCAAAUGAUGUGUGUGGCAAGAAUAUUGGCUUCGGUUUCCUCAAAACAAUGUAUACAUGAAUAAAGAUUUACUAAGAAUUAAAGAUGAAGAAAAUCUACCGGAACUUGACAGAAAAUAAUGACCAAAUUAAAACAUAACACGACCACCCAAUAAUUCAGAUAGAGCCGACUCAUUUAAUCCAUUCUCCCUCUUAACACAUCAAAGACCAGAGCUUGUUCCGAGCGUCUGGUAUUGUGACACCAACAGACCUUUUAGCAUAUAUACGACAUGGACUGAGCUUUCAUCUUACUCCAAUGGGAAUCCUUCCGUGUCAUUAUUAUUCUGUCAGAGUACUGACACUGCAAGAUGUGUGAGAUUGUCCAGUGCUCCCCAACCAUUUGGUACUGGGCCACACAGAAAGGAGAACUUUUAUCUUUUUCAUUUGACUUUUUUUCAGAAAGAUGUUUUAUUUUGAAAAAUGAGUGGAUUCUCUCCCCAUUAUAUGUCCUUCUUGACACAUUGACCUUUUCCACUUUCAGUACCUAGGCUUAGUGGGACCAUUGCGAUUACUACGAUGUAGAAACGGGAUCCAUCUCAAAUGUGUCAUCAGAUGGUUGGUAAAAAGCACUGCUUUAUUUACUGUGGCAGUGAGCAGCAGAAAUACACUUAGCCAAUGGACUUUCAGUCUGUGGCACUCAUCCAUAUCUGUUUAUAGCACGUACCCUGGCUCAUUUGACCUGGACUUCGCCUUUCAAUAUUCAUUCAGAGAUGCGUUUCCAGGACGGCUUGAGCGUCUAUAAAAGUGAUGCAUGUCCUACCAUAACGCAAAAAGACCAAGAGCCUCCUGCCCUGAUGACAUUCAGAAAUAACUGAAUAGACACAGGUACACAUGAAAAAGUUCGCAUCUGUGUGCGCACACCCCACACACACCCGCUCCACUGCAACUCCCUCGGCCCCUCCCAUCAGAGAAGUGAAGCCUUUUAAUUAUCUGCUGAUUACCUGUUAGAUCACCUUAGCUAAUGGAGAGCAGCUCCCUUGGGAGCCAUCCAAUCUAACUCUCAUCACGCACAAUGGGCUCCUCUUCACUGGAGAGAGUAGACUCUGUGUGUGCGAAAGAGAAGAGUGCAGUAGAUGUGUGUGUGUGUGGUGUAAAAAAAAGAGACAGACCAAAAGAGAGAGUCCUUUUGAGGCGGAUGCUGAAAUUAAUACUGAACUAGUCUAUUUAUUCCUUCGUUGACUGAAUUGCCAUCACACUGCUCCACACACAUACCAACACCUAUAGUAUACACACAUAUAGACACAAACACACAAAAAUGUUGUAGCAUCCUUCCAUUUUAAUCAUAGUUCUGAUCAUCACAGAUUAUAUCACAACCGUUUUCCGUGCAGAACAGAACUACCGAAUGCUACCGUGCUGUUAUUGCUCUGUGUUCAUUGUUCUGUACUUGCGCUCUAACUGCAUAUUGAAAUGUUCUACCUGAAGAAACGAAAUUCCAAAAUGCUGUGUAAUAGCAGCAAGGCCUCAUAACAGCUUGAAAAACUGAACAUCGACAAAAAAGGUGAAGCUGACAAAUGGAGUGUAACCAAUGCGAUUGAAAGAAGAACAAAAGUGAUGCUCGAUUUUCUCGUAGGUAUCAGAGAAACAGGAUGGGUUCUCAACUGUCUGAUUAAAAAACAAAACAUAAAACGAAAAAAGGGGCUGCAGAUUAUGUGUCUCUAUUUCAAAAUGCUAUUGAAGUAUAAUUAGAAAAAAAUUAAAUUAGAAAAGAAAGCAGAGCUGCAUCAACUUGUUUGCAUACAAGUUGUGAUCGGUGCCUUAUGUUAUUAAGCACAAGUGAAGACAUUAAGCAUGCAAUUUUAUAAAUAAAUAAAUAACUUCUUCAGACACUAAUUGUAUUGCAAUUCAUCCCAUACAUUCAUGACCAUACAUGCUCAGAGUAAGUGACUAGCUUGACUGCCAACAACACAGAGAUUCUCCCUAGCACAGUGCUAAUAGAGCUAACAGCUAAUGUUAGUGGAAAUUGCUUUUCUUUGCUUUAAAGCACUAUUCAGUAAACAUUUGAUUCAGUAAACAUUUGUAGGGUAAGUAUUUUUUUUUUUUACAUGUGGAUUGAGUGACGCUCAACCAUUUUGUCUUCUAAGUGGCUGGGGAAGCUGUCGAUCAUUUGCGCGUCACUUUUUGCGUCACAGAGAUGUAAAAUCACACGGAUUGACCUCUGAGCCUCUGAGUCUCUGAGCUCGGCUUAUAAAAAAAAAGAGGAAUCUGUGCCAGCCGUUUGUCUGAAGUGAGGCCCUCUCUACUUUAUCCCUGCUCUCAACUUGAAACGUUACUUGUGUACUGUCCAAACACAGCUCUAUCACGUAGGUGUGGCUUUAGCCUGUUUUAUAUGAUUUAUAAUGCUGUUUGACAUGGUUUAUGGAAAAUCUCAAAAUUAUUUAUUUUAUGUGUAAUAUUGCUAUAUUUCUUCAGCAGUAACACAUAAAUUGAUCUUUACACACAAUAGCACUCACAGGGCCCCCCUUUAUCUUACGGAGAAUACCUUUUCCUAAUAGACAAAGUAGUUCCAGAUUUUUGUUUUUUUUAUGAUGAGUGUGCCAUUUUUGGAGAGGAGGCCAAAAAACAGGCCAGUCACUAAAAGGUUAAUAAAUAGUUUUGUUUUGGGGAGUUACUUAUUUUUUUAUUAGUAGUUUAUUAUGAAAAAUAUCCAUGCCAUAAUUUUUUUACUCAAAGUAAAUAUGAACUAAAAAUAACAUUGUUGAUAACUGUUAAUAAAUUGAAAUGUAACAAACCAUUACUAAUUGGAUUACAUUUAUAAUUGUUUAUUUACACUGAUUUUGAGAUGGUGUAAAAAAUCUCGAGAGCGUUGCCAUUAGUUACAGAAUGAAAAUAUUAACAUUUUUAGAGUUGUGUAAUAAUUCUUGUACCUCAAAUGUACGGUAAGUCGAUCUGUAAAAUCCCAGGAGGCCUUAGGCAAUGGUAUGCCACAGUAUUUCAUUAUUCAGUCUUUUGGGGAUAGAGUCUGUAUAUGUAAUAUCCAGUAUACUGUACUUUCCUUUCCCUUCUAUCUUUCCUAACAUCUAUCUGGAAGAAGUCACCUUUUCAAUGCCACUAAAUGAUGACAUGACAUUUUUUAAAUCUUUCAAUGUACUGCUAUUAGAUCUCUAACAUUCCACUUUAUGGACCUACUGUGUUUGCUUAAUCUAUGCCUCAAUGGACAUGAUGUUUUACCAGUGUAGGAUAACUUUCAAUGAAGUGGAUCAUGUGACAUAUUUGAAAUAAAAAAUUAGGUUACUUCUCACCGUAUUAAUACUUUGGGAACAUCCUUAGCAUUCAUACCAUUCAUUUUGAAGUGGUUUAAACGAAGAACUAUACAAUUUUUCUUUACUGAUUUCUUCACUGCAGACUGUCUAAGAUUAUGUCCUCUUUAAUAGAUUAUUUAUUAAUAGUGGGUUUUUUUUGGAUCGGUAUGUUUUAAAAAUCAAGCGUUGUCUCUGUGAGAUGGGGUGUACCUCGUAAGAAUUCUGUAUCAUCAAAAAUGUGGUAGUCAAAACCAAUACCACCGGCAUGGGAUGUUUACAGCCCGAGACAGGAGAGCUCAACGGUGCGCAUCGGCGACAUUGGUGAGUACACAAUAAUAUUGACAAAAACCCUGCCCUCCACAACCUGUUCACCUGCUGAUACAAAAGUCCAGAUCAGAUAUGGUACCACAAAAAGUCAGAGCAGCUUCUUUUGUCCAGCUGUGAUGCUCCGAAAUGUAUCUUCCACCCUCAACAAAUAAUAUAGUUAGUUUUAGUAUUUGUGUGUAUCUCAUGAAGCAAAAUGGGACUCCAUUUAGUAUGUAGCCCUGUUGUACAAUUAUAAUAAAUUAACCAUGUAAUCUCAAAAAGGACAUGAUUCACAAUACCACUCCAAAGAGGGCAUCUUAAUGUGACUCAAUGUAACCUCUGUUAAUGUUAUCCAUUAGCUCCACAAUUUAUUCAGGUACGACUAUGCUGCCCACUGCAUCGCUAUGCUCUCUGAUUUGUGAAACCAUGCCUAUCAGACAAAGUCAUGUAAUUCUUGUUUAGUCCGUGAAAAAGUUAACAAGGUGUGAUCUAUGCAGUAAACAGUUCAGAAGAAGAGUGCACGCUUUAAUGACUCAUAAACAAAACCAUUCAUCAUGCAGCAGGAGAAAUCUGUACGUCUGGAAUUCUCGUGACCUCAAUUGUGAAAUCUUUUUUUGCUGUAUGCAGCCGUUUGAAGAUACCAGUCCUCUCACACGCAGAAGGCGUACAAAUAAAAGGUGGACAUAUAUGUGAUGAUUUGUUCUGCAUCAAUCAAAGGCAUUUUUAGAGGAUUCUUCUGCUAUAACAGUAUCACAGAGAGAUCCACCAGAUUCUGAGAGUAAAUGUAUGCGUGGACAUCUGCAUCCCUCUAAUAUCUGUGGCAUUAACCCUCAAUUCACCAGCUGUAAUAGAGUGAUUAGCAGCAUAUAACACUUGCAAUCCAUGUAAACCUCUCACCCAGCAUGGAAUCAGAGCUGAGUACCCCCUGCUGCUCUUCACAUUUAACUCUCCUCAUGAAUUUACGCUAAGUACAGGAGGAACAGAGCAGGAUCACACUAGGAAAAUGCAUUGCCAGCUCUUUCACCAGCAUUCCCUGUAGUUAGCAAUCUUAGUGCCAUUUCAAUCAUACUUGUGAUAAAGUACAGGAUGACAAGACAACAACCUAAUGAGGAUGUAACCAUACAGCCACAAUUCCCUGACAUCCUAAUCCAGACCCAGGGCCAAGUGAGUUCAAUUGAACCAGCCCGUCAAAAAGUCUGGGCCCGGCACCAGGGGCUAUAGGUUACAGUGUAUUGCCCCUGGCCAGGAACAGAAUGAAGAACUCCUUUCCCCCAUGUUCCCUCAUCAGGGAUAGCCUGGCCUGCCAUCAGAGUAAUGGUGCUAUAAACACAUCAGCAUGCUGAGAUGAGAGGGAAGGUUUCCCAAAGACGUCUGACUGCAGCAUCAAAAAGGAAAGACACACGGGAGGAAAGAUAGAGGAGGAAGAGAAAACGAGUGAGGGAGAAAGGGAGAGGGAGGCCCUGGAGUGGUGCCAAGUUCCCAAGGUAGUGUACAAGUAUCUUUAGAAGCUGGGCGUCUUGUUAGCUAAUACAUUACACCAAUCACAGCCAGCUAUCUUAAGCUACAAUUAAUCUGUGCGCUGGCACAGGCUGAUAGGACAGCAACAUGCUGUUUCUUAAUUAAAAGCAAACGGAUUAAAAAUGAUUAAUAACGGUAUUAAAUAUUCUCAUGGACUACAAGCGAGGGGAAAUCGGGGGGCUUUCUUAUGCGAGCUUAAAACGAAGAAGUCAUUAACGGCGGGCCCAAUCUCCCUAAGCCAGGGCUUUACUUUGUUUGGGAUCACAAGUUGCUUACUUCAUGAAUAUGCAUUUUGCCCCUAUCAAGUCGAGACCAAAAGGCAGUAUCGUGGUGUGGAUGUGGCGUGGUAUUUUUCCCCUCAGUGGCUGUGAAACUUUGAGUUUUUGAUUUGUGACAUUUUGUGGUCUGCCUUUGUAGCGGAGGCCUCUGUAUUAACUGGUUCCUGGCCACAGGCUACCGGGCUUUGACAGCCAAUGUCGGCUUUUUCUGUUCAAGAAAAAUCAUGAAUGUAGUUGCGUCGCAUCCGGAAUAAUCUUGAGUUUGUUUUGCAUCUUUUAAAAGGCAACAUUAACAACUACAUAUACCCACAAAAUCUGUUUUGAUUUUGAUACAUGCAAUAUUUUGGGGUAAAUGUUUGGCUUUAAAAAAAGGUUUUGAACAAAAAUAAACAUAUUGUACAUCACAGCUGAGCAGAUGAUGGCACGUUCAGCUAUAAGUGACAAGCUCAUUGUCAAUAAUUACUUUUUGGCUAUGGUGACGGUGGUCCAAUGUGUUAAAUUCAGUGACUUUUGCUUCUAAAUUCCGGCAAAGUCUAACUGCAGUUUGUUUGCGAAAAACAUGACGGAUGUUUUCAUAUUUAGUAAAAACACAAAUCAGCUAUUGUUAACGUCUUAUCAUUAUAUUUAAGAAUUCUUUCAAUUACGCCGCUCUAAAGAAAAAUUCUAGAUUGCUGCUCACUUGACAAAGAAAAUAGGCAAAACACAACUGGCAACAACCUUUAAAAUCUAUUUCAGUAAAAUACAUGCUAGCGAUGGCUCCAGCAUGGGAGUGAAACAUGUCUUGUGCCCCUCUAAUCAAAAUGACACCUGCACAUCAAUUCAUAAUUGAAAUCCCUGCAAUUCGCACAAGUCAGGAAAGCCCCUCUCCACUCCUACAAGAGGCUGUGAAAGGCAUCAUUGUGUGUCUGCGACUACAAUAACAGCUUCUAAAUGCAGUAUUGCUGUAAUCAAGCCCUCUGGUUCCAUGUGAUUUAAAUACAUAUGGCUUGUGUCCAAUGUCUCCUGUGCCAACCCAAGUGUUAGUUGUAAUUGACCAUACAAGCCUUUUCUCCCCUUUUCUCUGCUAAUUUCAUAAGUGCUAUUUUUAAAAUGUCAAUUAUAAAGCAGAUUAAUGUUUCUUAAUGUGAGAUUAGAUCCAUUUUUUGGCACAAAUCAUUGGACAAUCUCUUUGGUUUGAUUGCAUUUCUGCCCUUAUCAUUUUAAGAGGCCUUUAUGCUCCAGUUUUACAUGGCACACGCUAAAAGGGCAAGUUGGCAGAUUCUAAAUGUUAUUCAAACAAACAUGCUGCAAUUAAUCAAACAUUUUGCUAUUGUUGAUAUUGCUCUUCAUUGAAAAAUACAUUUUAGAGGAGUUUUUCUUUGCCCAGCACACGCUCCUACACACUGACACAUACCUUUGCAACAACUCUGAAUGAGAAACAAGGUGUUGAUGUUGUCAUUCUAGUGGCGGUGAACUUAUUUCGCAGCUGAGGCCGAUUAGAAAAAGCUGGCAUCCAGGACUCUAUUUAGAAACCAAUUACUUCAAUGCUUCUCAAAUUGAUUUCAUUUGCCUCUGCAGCCAGCCUCUCUUUUUUUCUCCUACUUUUUCAAUGUUUUCUAUUUCUAUGUUUUUGUGGAGUGUUUUUUCCAUUCUUUCUUCAUCUGCUGCCUCUUGUCCGACAGAAAAAAACAGGCUGAUAAAGAUCAGCUUCAUGUUUGUCUUCCGAAGGAUGCAAGCAGCAGAAUGAUAAUUUCAAAUCAUAAAGAUAAUGGUAUUGGUUGGUUAAGAUAAGAUGUGGCUGCUUGUGGUGUUUACUCGAGCAGUGCAUGUUUGCAUGUUAUCCCCUCGCAUAUAUGGAUACAUUUAUGACCUUGUGCAUAUUUGUUUGUUGUGUCAUUGUGUAUGUGUAGCCCCGAGUUCAGUUACCCCAUAUACAAUGGAUUUGUUGUUUUUGUCAUAGCUGGAUAAAAUAUAUAUUUAUGAAUUAAACAUAAAGCUGUAUAUAUUUAUUUAUUUUAUUGAUUAUUAUAUAAAUACCAAUGUUUUGAGCAUCAUGAUGUAAUAACACAUUAAUACGGUAUAAUUGGAAAGAAAUGUGCUGUUCUGGAAUUUCUGGUGACUGGUAUCCUCAAUGCCAAACCAUUUUUUUACAUUAAAAAAGUAAAACCCUGCUUUGUGCUUUUAUUGUGAAGAAGGACACGGCCAGUGUGCCAAACAAAUACAGGUAUGUUUUAUUAAGAUAAACUUAAUAUUUGUCUACAUAAUCUAAAUUUACUCUCAACAGUUAGAAAAAAUACUAGGAGUUAUAAGUUAUAACUUUAGAAAGUGCGUAUUUUAGACACUGUUGUUUAAUUGUUAAUGUUAAAACUACACACAUUUGAUCAUCUUGGAGACAGAAUUCCACCUGGUCAAACAUGUUGAACUAGCGACUCCUCCUGCUGUCCUCGUACACUUUGCUCUCAACUCGCCAUCAUUUGUUUGAAUUGCCAACAAUCUCCCCACAUUUAGCCAGUUUCCAAACCACGAUUUUUUAGGGACACUGUGGUGGUCCUGUGCAGGGUAACGUUAGAUGUUGAGAUGGAAGUAGCCUAGCAGCUAGCUAAACAUAGCAGUGCUUUAAGUGGUCCGUUUGCUACUCACCCCCCUUCUAUUUGACACGUGGAGUAAUUUUUCAUUGCACAGUUCUCUGCUGUAUGUCACACCACUCUUUGUUUUACUUCCAAUGCAAAAAGCUCUCCAUAUUGAUGUAACUGACUGCAGCUAGCGGCCGUUCCGUUUCCGCGGUCAACUUCCGGUUUACUUCCGUCCUAGAAGUAAACCGUAAGUAAACAAACAAAUGUUAACUACGUUAAAAUAUUUUGUUGCAUUAAUCUAGGCCACAUUAAUCGUGUAUAUUAAUGCAUUGAUGUUGACAGCCCUAAAAAUUACUUAUUUUGACCAAACUGAUGAAACCGAUUAACCGUUCAAAAUAACACUGUUAUCUUCUAAUAAUCCUGUUGUGUUCGAUUAACCUAUAGUUUAUGUGAGCCAUCUUUGUGUGUACACUAAUCAGAUGCUUUAUGACCCAUGUUUGUUUAUUGAAUGAAAUUCAAACUAGGAAAAACAAGCAAAUUACUAACUUUUGUCUCACCCUCCCCUCCCCAAGGAGACUAAUUCUCUAGGAGAAGAGCGGGCAGGAGAAGUUGAUGUUUAUUCAACAGAGCGGUAGUUACUCAAAUUGUAAACACUUCCUGUUGCUUUCAUUAUGCAGGUUAGACCAGCCCUGUCGCUGGGGUUUGUACUGGCCAAAUUUAAAAAGGCUGCUUUAUUUUGACAUUAUAUCCAGGAAAAUAACAGUGUGAGUUUGUAACAAAACACUCAUGUACACACAAGGUGACAGCGUGUCGAUUGGGCUGUUAGAUGGUGAUGUGGAUUCAUUGAGGAGGAUGAGAUCAACACCUUAGUGACUAAACAGCCUGAGAGAGAAUGGGAGCUUAAUUGAUGAUCAAACACUCACCAGGUGUACGUGGAUGUUUUCGCUUUUUUUGUGUGGGUGUGUCUGUGUGUGUGGGUGUCGGGGGGUGUAUUUGUGUGAAUCCGUUUCUCCACAUGCACCUUUUGUACUUUGCAUAUAAGUGAGUGUCUUCAUCCAUGUGUGUGUGUCUGUAUAUGUGUAUUUGCUGUAUUUGCAUAGAGGCCGGAACAAGAGAUUUCAAAGACCUGCAGAGGUUCCAUUCAGCCUUGCGUCUUUCAUAUUGACCUCAGGGUGACAGGAGUACAGAAAAACACACGCUCCAGUCUCCACCAUCAACAUGAAAGCAGGCACACCAUACACACAUAGAGAGCAAUCACCUUCGACAAUGGGCUCUCCAAACUGUUGUGAAAUUCAAAUCCACCCUCUGCAAACACUUGUACACACCUCUUUCAUUUGUCGUUGAGCGCUUCAAAAUAUUCUCUCCAUAUCAUUUAUUAGUGGAAAAUGGGUAUAAGAGCAUGUGAAAUGAAAAAAAAAAGAAUCAUAAUAAUGCGUAAUGUUGCAAAAGCUUAUUCAUGAUAUGUUUAACAGCCUUAGAGACCUUACCGCUGGUUGCUUGUUGUGUCCAUCAAAAUAAUUGAUGAUAUCAAUGAAAUAGUUAUAGACCUACAGUGUGAAUUCUGCAGUCGAAUUAUGGAGGAUUGUAGAGGCUGCUCAUCAGAAAACGUGUUGUUUGCGGCGGUGGCGCAUGGAGUAGAGAGGGUGUGCUGGGAACUGCAAGGUUGGUGGUUUGAACCCUGGCUGCUCCAUGUCCCAUGUCAAAGUGUCCCUGAGCUGGAUACCUAACCCCUAAUUGCUCCCUGUGCAAAAUGUAGAAAAAAAACAUGGGUUAAAAAGUUACUUUAGAUAAAAGUGUCAGCUAAAUUACAUGUAAUGAAAAGGCACAUUCUCUAAAAGGUUGGCCUAUCACCAGCCUUGCAAAGUUCUUAUAGACAGAUAGUGAUAUGAGGCAAACAUGAGGCUAAAGGGGAAAUUGAAUAACAAGACCCCUCUAACCUUGACUGAAUCAAAAUGUUCAGAUUUCAUCAAACUUACUGAC